Long non-coding RNA from Scomber japonicus (chub mackerel), 183 nucleotides. RefSeq lists it as uncharacterized. Lineage: Eukaryota; Metazoa; Chordata; Actinopteri; Scombriformes; Scombridae. The record is from RefSeq and is a predicted model, not a curated record. The transcript is spliced from 3 exons.
UGAUUUCGACUUGGAGUCUCCUCCAGUUAAGAUUGUUCUCAUCAAACCCAAGUCCAUUCACAAAGACAAGGUGAAGGUAUCACACAAAGAGAGUCACCCUGGCGACGAAAAGAUGCCCACGAAAUCUCAAAUACCUGUUUUGGUGGGCAAACAAAAAACACAAAGGCAAGAAAAUACAGACCU